UACGGAGGGGACUAGCGUUGUUCGGAAUUACUGGGCGUAAAGCGCACGUAGGCGGAUUUGUUAGUCAGGGGUGAAAUCCCGGGGCUCAACCUCGGAACUGCCUUUGAUACUGCAAAUCUCGAGUCCGAUAGAGGUGGGUGGAAUUCCUAGUGUAGAGGUGAAAUUCGUAGAUAUUAGGAAGAACACCGGUGGCGAAGGCGGCCCACUGGAUCGGUACUGACGCUGAGGUGCGAAAGCGUGGGGAGCAAACAGG
Molecule: ribosomal RNA, 253 nt
Filed under: uncultured bacterium
Lineage: Bacteria
Description: partial 16S ribosomal RNA
Rfam family: Bacterial small subunit ribosomal RNA
Source: RNAcentral